Molecule: ribosomal RNA, 420 nt
Filed under: uncultured bacterium
Lineage: Bacteria
Description: bacterial SSU rRNA
Rfam family: Bacterial small subunit ribosomal RNA
Source: RNAcentral
GUUUAUCAACGAGCCCAACCCCUAUCGUUAGUUACCAUCAUUAAGUUGGGGACUCUAGCGAGACUGCCUGCGACGAGCAGGAGGAAGGUGGGGACGACGUCAAGUCAUCAUGCCCCUUAUGGACUGGGCUACACACGUGCUACAAUGGGAAGUACAAAGAGUCGCAAGCCAGCGAUGGUUAGCCAAUCUCAAAAAGCUUCUCUCAGUUCGGAUUGGAGUCUGCAACUCGACUCCAUGAAGUUGGAAUCACUAGUAAUCGCGAAUCAGCAAUGUCGCGGUGAAUACGUUCUCGGGUCUUGUACACACCGCCCGUCACACCACGAGAGUUGGUUGCACCUGAAGUAGCAGGCCUAACCCUUCGGGGAGGGAUGUUCCUAAGGUGUGAUUAGCGAUUGGGGUGAAGUCGUAACAAGGUAACCG